This 253-nucleotide ribosomal RNA is filed under the name uncultured bacterium. RNAcentral's name for it is "partial 16S ribosomal RNA". It matches the Rfam family "Bacterial small subunit ribosomal RNA", at positions 524 to 776 of the family's 1533-position model. The record is from RNAcentral.
UACGUAGGGCGCAAGCGUUGUCCGGAAUUAUUGGACGUAAAGAGCUCGUAGGCGGCUUGUUGCGUCGACUGUGAAAACCCGCGGCUUAACCGCGGGCUUGCAGUUGAUACGGGCAGGCUAGAGUUCGGUAGGGGAGACUGGAAUUCCUGGUGUAGCGGUGAAAUGCGCAGAUAUCAGGAGGAACACCGGUGGCGAAGGCGGGUCUCUGGGCCGAUACUGACGCUGAGGAGCGAAAGCGUGGGGAGCGAACAGG